GAAGAACGCUGGCGGCGUGCUUAACACAUGCAAGUCGAACGGAAAGGCCCUGCUUUUGUGGGGUGCUCGAGUGGCGAACGGGUGAGUAACACGUGAGUAACCUGCCCUUGACUUUGGGAUAACUUCAGGAAACUGGGGCUAAUACCGGAUAGGAGCUCCUGCUGCAUGGUGGGGGUUGGAAAGUUUCGGCGGUUGGGGAUGGACUCGCGGCUUAUCAGCUUGUUGGUGGGGUAGUGGCUUACCAAGGCUUUGACGGGUAGCCGGCCUGAGAGGGUGACCGGCCACAUUGGGACUGAGAUACGGCCCAGACUCCUACGGGAGGCAGCAGUGGGGAAUACUGCACAAUGGGCGGAAGCCUGAUGCAGCAACGCCGCGUGCGGGAUGACGGCCUUCGGGUUGUAAACCGCUUUCGCCUGUGACGAAGCGUGAGUGACGGUAAUGGGUAAAGAAGCACCGGCUAACUACGUG
RNAcentral lists this ribosomal RNA (468 nucleotides) under uncultured bacterium. RNAcentral describes it as "partial 16S ribosomal RNA". It matches the Rfam family "Bacterial small subunit ribosomal RNA", at positions 28 to 507 of the family's 1533-position model. The record is from RNAcentral.